Molecule: signal recognition particle RNA, 308 nt
Filed under: Pan troglodytes (chimpanzee)
Lineage: Eukaryota; Metazoa; Chordata; Mammalia; Primates; Hominidae
Description: Metazoan signal recognition particle RNA
Rfam family: Metazoan signal recognition particle RNA
About the family: The signal recognition particle (SRP) is a universally conserved ribonucleoprotein. It is involved in the co-translational targeting of proteins to membranes. The eukaryotic SRP consists of a 300-nucleotide 7S RNA and six proteins: SRPs 72, 68, 54, 19, 14, and 9.
Source: Rfam by way of RNAcentral
GCUGGGUAUGGUGGUGCACACCUGUAAUCCCAGCUACUUGGGAGGCUGGGGCAGGAGAAUUGCUUGAACUCGGAAGGCAGAGGUUGCAGUGAGCUGAGAUCGUGCCACUGCACUUCAGCCUGGAGACAGAGUGAGACUCUGUCUCAAAAAAAAAAAAAUCAUGUUUCAUGCUUCAGUUUAUCUGUUCUUUCUUUUUUUAUUUUUUUUGUGACAGGGUCUCACUCUGCUGCCCAGGCUGGAGUGCAGUGGCGUGAUCUCGGCUCACUGCAACUUCCACCUCCUGGGUUCAAGCGAUUCUCCUGCUUCAG